This is a long non-coding RNA of Acanthopagrus latus (yellowfin seabream), 303 nucleotides long. RefSeq lists it as uncharacterized. The transcript is spliced from 3 exons. The record is from RefSeq and is a predicted model, not a curated record. Lineage: Eukaryota; Metazoa; Chordata; Actinopteri; Spariformes; Sparidae.
CAUCCUCAGCAUCAGCAUCAUCUUCCUCAUUUGGGUGUGACGAGACGUCCAUCAGAGAAGGGAGGCUCCCACCACGCAGGAUACCUUUGCCUCUCUGCAGAAGACCGUUGAGACCAUCGCCCAGAGAGCCCUUCAGAGGGUUCAGAAAUUGACGGCCAAUCACGCAGAAGGCAAAGAAAGAGUAAACUGCAACUGUGACCACCUGAAGAAGAAACGAGACGGGAUAUUUAUGAGGCCAUCAAUCCUCCAUCAGCGCCCGGACAUCAGUGACCACUGUGGACUUCCCCAUUCUUUUAUCUGAAU